This 504-nucleotide long non-coding RNA is filed under the name Pan troglodytes (chimpanzee). RNAcentral's name for it is "long non-coding RNA NONPTRT009849". Lineage: Eukaryota; Metazoa; Chordata; Mammalia; Primates; Hominidae. The record is from RNAcentral.
GCCGCCGCCGCCGCGGAGCGAACCAGGGGUGUCCGGGGUGCGCGGUCCAGGGCCGGGGCCGGGCCAUGAGCGCGCCGUCCUCGAGUCCCCGAGCCGCGGAGCCCGCCCGCGCCCCUCGGGCCGCCCCGCGCCCCUCGCCAUGGCGCGGCUCGCGGACUACUUCGUGCUGGUGGCGUUCGGGCCGCACCCGCGCGGGAGUGGGGAAGGCCAGGGCCAGAUUCUGCAGCGCUUCCCAGAGAAGGACUGGGAGGACAACCCAUUCCCCCCAGGGCAUCGAGCUGGUGAGUUGGGGGCGUGCUGAGACGGUGCUGGCAGGUGGGGAGGGCAGGUGGGCACAGCCCUGCCCUUGUCCCUGACUGAGGGGCCUCCGCAGUGCCCGGCCCCCCGCUGGGCUAGGGACAAGACAGCAGAGCCUCUGUCGGGGGGUCUGACCGGCUUGGCCGGCGGCCUGCGCGGUGCUCAUGUCACUGUGUCAUGUUGUCACUCACUCAUGAUGGUGGGGAC